This 463-nucleotide ribosomal RNA is filed under the name uncultured bacterium. RNAcentral describes it as "bacterial SSU rRNA". It matches the Rfam family "Bacterial small subunit ribosomal RNA", at positions 331 to 792 of the family's 1533-position model. The record is from RNAcentral.
CCAGACUCCUACGGGAGGCAGCAGUGAGGAAUAUUGGUCAAUGGGAGAGAUCCUGAACCAGCCAAGCCGCGUGAGGGAAGACGGCCCUAUGGGUUGUAAACCUCUUUUGUCGGAGAACAAAACCCGGGACGUGUCCCGGACUGCGUGUAUCCGAAGAAAAAGCAUCGGCUAACUCCGUGCCAGCAGCCGCGGUAAUACGGAGGAUGCGAGCGUUAUCCGGAUUUAUUGGGUUUAAAGGGUGCGCAGGCGGAGGUGCAAGUCAGUGGUCAAAUUGCGGGGCUCAACCCCGUACUGCCGUUGAAACUGCAUCCCUUGAGUGCGCGAGAAGUAUGCGGAAUGCGUGGUGUAGCGGUGAAAUGCUUAGAUAUCACGAAGAACCCCGAUUGCGAAGGCAGCCUGCCGCAGCGUUACUGACGCUGAAGCUCGAAAGCGCGGGUAUCGAACAGGAUUAGAUACCCUUGUA